RNAcentral lists this ribosomal RNA (429 nucleotides) under Chloroflexota bacterium. RNAcentral's name for it is "Chloroflexi bacterium partial 16S ribosomal RNA". It matches the Rfam family "Bacterial small subunit ribosomal RNA", at positions 355 to 776 of the family's 1533-position model. Lineage: Bacteria; Bacillati; Chloroflexota. The record is from RNAcentral.
UGGGGAAUAUUGCACAAUGGGCGCAAGCCUGAUGCAGCCAUGCCGCGUGUAUGAAGAAGGCCUUCGGGUUGUAAAGUACUUUCAGCGGGGAGGAAGGGAGUAAAGUUAAUACCUUUGCUCAUUGACGUUACCCGCAGAAGAAGCACCGGCUAACUCCGUGCCAGCAGCCGCGGUAAUACGGAGGGUGCAAGCGUUAAUCGGAAUUACUGGGCGUAAAGCGCACGCAGGCGGUUUGUUAAGUCAGAUGUGAAAUCCCCGGGCUCAACCUGGGAACUGCAUCUGAUACUGGCAAGCUUGAGUCUCGUAGAGGGGGGUAGAAUUCCAGGUGUAGCGGUGAAAUGCGUAGAGGUCUGGAGGAAUACCGGUGGCGGAGGCGGCCCCCUGGACGAAGACUGACGCUCAGGUGCGAAAGCGUGGGGAGCAAACAGG